GCAGAGCACUCCUACGGGAGGCAGCAGUGGGGAAUAUUGGACAAUGGGCGCAAGCCUGAUCCAGCCAUGCCGCGUGAGUGAUGAAGGCCUUAGGGUUGUAAAGCUCUUUUGUCCGGGAAGAUAAUGACUGUACCGGAAGAAUAAGCCCCGGCUAACUUCGUGCCAGCAGCCGCGGUAAUACGAAGGGGGCUAGCGUUGCUCGGAAUCACUGGGCGUAAAGGGCGCGUAGGCGGACUUUUAAGUCGGGGGUGAAAGCCCAGGGCUCAACCCUGGAAUUGCCUUCGAUACUGGGAGUCUUGAGUUCGGAAGAGGUUGGUGGAACUGCGAGUGUAGAGGUGAAAUUCGUAGAUAUUCGCAAGAACACCGGUGGCGAAGGCGGCCAACUGGUCCGAUACUGACGCUGAGGCGCGAAAGCGUGGGGAGCAAACAGGAUUAGAUCCCCUGGUAG
This 448-nucleotide ribosomal RNA is filed under the name uncultured bacterium. RNAcentral describes it as "bacterial SSU rRNA". It matches the Rfam family "Bacterial small subunit ribosomal RNA", at positions 328 to 793 of the family's 1533-position model. The record is from RNAcentral.